RNAcentral lists this ribosomal RNA (463 nucleotides) under Vreelandella stevensii. Its description in RNAcentral is "partial 16S ribosomal RNA". It matches the Rfam family "Bacterial small subunit ribosomal RNA", at positions 338 to 795 of the family's 1533-position model. The record is from RNAcentral. Lineage: Bacteria; Pseudomonadati; Pseudomonadota; Gammaproteobacteria; Oceanospirillales; Halomonadaceae.
CCUAGGGUGGCAGCAGUGGGGAAUAUUGGACAAUGGGCGAAAGCCUGAUCCAGCCAUGCCGCGUGUGUGAAGAAGGCCUUCGGGUUGUAAAGCACUUUCAGUGGGGAAGAAAGCCUUGGGGCUAAUACCCUCGAGGAAGGACAUCACCCACAGAAGAAGCACCGGCUAACUCCGUGCCAGCAGCCGCGGUAAUACGGAGGGUGCGAGCGUUAAUCGGAAUUACUGGGGUAAAGCGCGCGUAGGCGGUCUGAUAAGCCGGUUGUGAAAGCCCCGGGCUCAACCUGGGAACGGCAUCCGGAACUGUCAGGCUAGAGUGCAGGAGAGGAAGGUAGAAUUCCCGGUGUAGCAGUGAAAUGCGUAGAGAUCGGGAGGAAUACCAGUGGCGAAGGCGGCCUUCUGGACUGACACUGACGCUGAGGUGCGAAAGCGUGGGUAGCAAACAGGAUUAGAUACCCCAGUAGUC